GGAGGGUGUGUGUCUGUGCCGUGGCCGCCGCCGCUGCCGCCUGUCGCUGAGGCUGGCAUCUCCGAGCCCCCGCGCGGGGGGCUGCCGCCCGAGCGCUGAUUGACAGGCUGCCUCGCCAAUGCCUGGAGGGAGAAAGGAGGGACUCCAAGAGAAUACCUGACUCCCUCAUGUCUCCCCAUUGUACAGAUGAGAAAACUGAGGCUCUCCGAGGUUGAAGGGAAUUGGCCAAAGUCAGAUUCUCAGGAGUGGACGACAGAGUUGAAUUGAUGAAUUGAGCUCAUUUGAAUUCAAAUGCUUACUUCUUAUAGCAAGUACACUGUAUAAUUGAGGGAGUAAAAUGACACCUCCCUUUGGGGUGUUGAGUAAUUUUAAAAUGUUACAUAUAUUUUGUACAUGUGAUAUACAUGUAUGUGUGUGUGUGUAUAUCUAUCUAUCUAUCUAUCUAUCUAUCUAUAGAUCUAUCUAUCUAUCUAUUUAUCUCACACUUGCAGGACUGAGACUGUCCAAGGGUUCUUACUCCCUGAAUUGCCCAGUAAAUUACUCACUGCAGCUGGUGCCACCAGGCCAGUUUCUGGAGAAUACACAAUUGCAGUAGUUUAGAGAAGAUCUCAAUGGUUCGAGUACAAACCUCAUGGGGUACAGAUGUCUUAAAAUAUAGAGGACAUCCUGGGCUCCUCUCAGUCACUUUUUCAGCAGAGCCCAUUCUCCCUGACUCAAAUUACCCUUCCUUCAGGCCGACUUCAAUACCAGCAUCCCUGCUCAGGGAUUGGGUUCCAGCCUUCAUUCUUCACUAUCCAGGUCAGAGUUCAGGGUGCUCCUUGAUGUAUAACCCUCAUCUCCCCGGUCUGGAGCUAGUUUCUUUUUCAGAGCUUUCCUUUUAGAAAAAGAGAAGGUAUCCCAUUUUCUUCUUUCGGGGUCCGGUUCAUUUGGUUCUCAUUUCCCUGAUCUCCCUUCCUUUGGAAGCAUUCUCUUUCUUCUUUGCUGGUUCAGCUUCUGUGCUCCUCCACCCUAGAUUGUCUCCCUCUCUGCUGUGGGCUCCUCAGAUGGUGCUGGCCCCCCUCCAUUUAUUAGAGAUGAAAUAAAUAAUGCCAUAAAUAAAAGUAUUUGGGAAUCCAGGAACUGUCAGGGCUGAUUAGGGCAUAGAGGACAUUUUCUUUCUCAUUAUGCAAAAGCAUUUCAUGGGGAAAUAAAAGAGGUUUCAUUGUAACUCAUGCAUGUCAUAUUUCAAGGAAUUCAAGAUAUUAAUCAUAUUUAACAUUAUUUGCAACAUUUCUUCCUGGCUUCUGAAAACUGCUAAAUGAGGACAUGUGGAUCACUGGGAAAAAGGGAGACAAGCAUGAGAAGGACAGUUAAGAAAUAAUGAAAUCCUGGUGAAAGACAGAGAGAAUGAGAUGCCAGGGAGAUGUUUCUGAAGCACAUAAGUGAGAAAUGGGGGAGCUACCUCUGAAACGUGAGACAGCUGAAAUUGAAUGAUGUACUGGAGGAAAUAAGUGAUAACAAACCUAUCCACACUUUCCUUUCUAUAGAGCAGUUCAGAAUUUUGCACUGAAAUGUUGUUCCCUCCCACUUUAUUCCCAGCUAAUUUGCCAGGGAGUCCUAGCUUUUGAAAAGAAAUUGAGGUGGUAGUAUGGUGGUUUAGGGGGAGAUAUCCUUCAGUCCUUUUAUUGAAGAAAUGAUUUCCUGGACCUGAAGGCUUUGUCUUCUGCUUAGGUAUUUUUAAUUUGUGUCAUCUUAACCUCUUAAACACCUUUAAAAAAUUGGAAACAAUACUUCCAUUGUUAUUUGUUAUACUUUACCAACUAAUUACUAAAGGGAUCUGCAAUCCUGUAUCAAAAAGUAGCCCUUUUUAUAAAAUUGAAUGCUCCAAUUAGUGGUUGCUUUGGUUUGAGUGUCCCCCAAAAAGGAUGUGUAGGAAAAUUUAUCCCCAGUGCAACAGUAAUGGGAGGUUGGGCCUAAGGGGAGGUGCUUAUGUCAUGAAGGCUGUACUCUCAUGAAGGGAUUCAUGCCUUUUAUAGAAGUUUGAGUCUGAGAGUUUGAUCUCUUGUUCUUUUUCACCAUAUAAUUCCUUCUGCUAUGUUGUGACAUGGCAAGAAGGCCCUAACUGGAUGUUACUCCUUGAUCUUAGACUUCCCAGCCUCCAGAACUGAAAGAAAGAAAUCUCUGUUCUUUGUAAACUGUUCAGUCUGUGAUAUUCUGCUAUAGUAGCACAAAACAGACUAAGACAAAAAGUAGGUAACGAGAAGUGGGACUGUUGCUAUAAAAAUUACCUGAAAACGUGGAAAUGGCUUUAGAACUAGGUAAUGGAUAGAGGCCGGAAGAAUUUGGAGGAACAGACUAGAAAAAGCUGAGAUUUCCCUGAAUGGCAUAUUAAUGGCCAUUCUAAUAAGGCAAUCAGUAGAGAACCAUAGGGAAAGUGUGGAUCUUCUUAGAGAUUACUUAAGUAGUUUUGAUCAAAAUGCUAGUAAAAAAUAUGUAUAGUGAAAGCCACAAGAUCUCCAGUGGAAAUGAGGAGCAAAGUAUUAGAAACUGAACUAAAGGCUAUUCUUGUUAUAUAGUUGUACAGGAAUUGGUGGAAUUGUGUCCUAGGAAUUUAUGGAAGACCCACUUUAAGAGCAGUGAACUAGGAUUUCUCAUAGAACUAUCUAAGUGGCAAGGCAUCGAAGGUGCUUCAUGGCUUCUUUUGGUGCCUUAGAGUAAAAGGAGGGAAGAGAGAAAUGACGUACAGAUAGAAUUUACAAUUAAAAGGGAAACAGCAGAAAUAUUUGGGAAUUUGCAGCCUGGAUCCUCGAAGAGUGCAAAAAGUGUUUUCAGGAGAGAAUACUAAGGUUGUGGCCAAGGGACCCUUUGCUAAAGAGAUUAAAAAUGGGUAGAAGGGGUGGGUGGGCAUUUAGCUGAGUGUCACAGUGCCUGCCUCACAAGCGAAAGGACCUGAGUUUGAGUUUGAACCCCAGUACCAAAAAAAAAAAAAAAAAAGAAGAAGGCAGCCAGGUUCUUUUCAUCAGGAUGUUGGGAAAAUGACCCUGAUGACCCUGAAGGCAUGUUAGAGAUCUUUGAGGGAAAGGUUUCAAGACAGGUGUGUGUGGGAUUUCAGCCUUUGUUUCUCAGGGCCACUUGGGACUUUGUUUCUGCAUUCUGGUGCAGGAUGGCUUCAGUGAACCCAGGAGUGGCUCCGGUCAGCCUUUGAGGCAUCUGUGUGGUGCUAAUUUUGCAGAUGUGCAGAGUACACAAGCUAUGGAGCUAUGGCUUGUGUAUCUAAAUUUCACCUAAAUUUCCACCUAAAUUUUAAAACAUGUAUUGGACAUGCUGGGAAACGAGGCAGACUUGUCAGAGGUACAGAGCCAUCACAGAAAGCCCCUACUAAGGGCAGUGCCUUAGUAGAGCCAUGGAAUGUUAACAUGGAGGUGUUAAUGUUCAACUCCAGCCUGGGAGAGUUGCAGAGGAUUAGGAGUGGGAUACCUGAUGGUAGGGGGACCCAAAUCCUCUGUGAGUCCAGGAAGUGGUACAUGGAGUAAAAGAUUAUUCUAGAGGCUUAGGAUUUAAUGUUGUUUGCCUUGUUGGGUUUUAGACUUAAUCCCCACCCCACUGCUGCAGUUUGAAAGUACUAUAGAUAACUUGUUUGACUUUACUGACUCACAGCUGAAGGGGAAUUUGCCUCAGGAAGAAUUGUGCCUUAGUUUCACCUAUAUCUAAAUUAGAUGAGACUCUGAACUUUUGAUUUUUAAGUUGGCACUGGACUAAAGUCUUUGGGGCUGGGCCGGGGAUUUAGCUCAGUGGUUCGGCCGCCUCCCUCGAAAGGGGAAGGACCUGAGUUCCAUCCCCGGUACAAAAGAAAAAAAAAGACUUUGGGGCUAUAGGGAUGGAAUGAAUAUAUGUGGAAUGGAAUGAAUUUAUGUAAGAAGGACAUGAUUUGGGGGACCUACAUCAGACUGUGUCCCUCAAAAAGCAGGUGUUGGAAACUCAAUCCCCACUGCAGCAGUGUUGGGAAGUGAAGCCUAAUGGGAGGUGAUUAGGUCAUGAGGGCUUCAUCCUUGUGAAUGGAUUAAUGCUGAGUGUAAAAGGGCUUGAGACUCUGAGCUCAAUUUGUUGCUCGCUCUCAAGGGUGUGAUGCUUUCUACUAUGUUAUGAUGAAGGAGCAAGUCCCUCAUUAGAUGUGCCCCCUCAAUCUUGGAUUUCCCAGCCCCCAGCACCAUGAACUAAAUAAACUUCUAUUGUUUGUAAAGUACCCAAUCUCAGGCACUUUAUUAUGGCAGCCCAAAAAAGAACUGACAGUGGUUUGACUAAAGAAAAAAAUUAAAAUAAAAAAAGAUGGCUCCCAGAAGAAGACUGUUAGAAAUUUUAAAAUGAUUCACUUUCAGAUAUUUGUGUGAGAAGGUACCUGUGUUUGUGUCCAUAGGAAAAUGGAGUGCAUAAUAAUAACUCCUUAGAAAAUAAAAUGGAGCUGGAAAUGGUGGCACACACCUAUAAUCCUAGCCCUCCAGGAGUCUGGAGUCUGAGGAAGGAUUGCAAAUUUGAGCCCACCUUGGACAGGUUAAUGACUUAGUGAAACCUGUCAAAAGAAAGAA
Heterocephalus glaber (naked mole-rat) is the source of this 4562-nucleotide long non-coding RNA. Lineage: Eukaryota; Metazoa; Chordata; Mammalia; Rodentia; Bathyergidae. The record is from Ensembl.